UCCAGACUCCUACGGGAGGCAGCAGUGGGGGAUAUUGCACAAUGGGGGAAACCCUGAUGCGGCGACGCCGCGUGAGUGAAGAAGUAUUUCAGUAUGUAAAGCUCUAUCAGCAGGGAAGAAAAAAGACGGUACCUGACUAAGAAGCCCCGGCUAACUACGUGCCAGCAGCCGCGGUAAUACGUAGGGGGCAAGCGUUAUCCGGAUUUACUGGGUGUAAAGGGAGCGUAGACGGCAAUACAAGUCGGAAGUGAAAUACCCGGGCUUAACCUGGGAACUGCUUUGGAAACUGUAUGGCUGGAGUGCUGGAGAGGUAAGCGGAAUUCCUAGUGUAGCGGUGAAAUGCGUAGAUAUUAGGAGGAACACCAGUGGCGAAGGCGGCUUACUGGACAGUAACUGACGUUGAGGCUCGAAAGCGUGGGGAGCAAACAGGAUUAGAUACCCCGGUAU
Molecule: ribosomal RNA, 447 nt
Filed under: uncultured bacterium
Lineage: Bacteria
Description: bacterial SSU rRNA
Rfam family: Bacterial small subunit ribosomal RNA
Source: RNAcentral